UUUUUCUUUCUUUCUUUUUUUUUUUUUUUGACAGGAUGGGCUGGGGUUGGGGGAGGAGGAAGCAAGAAUUAAGCAGAGAAGGCAAGCUCCUUUCUGUUCAUCUAACUCAAACUGACGAGUCAUUGAGCUGACUCCAAUCAGCAGGAUCCCCUGGUCGCCUGACUCAGGCCUCCCCAGUCAGAGGUAGAGUCUGCGGUGGACAGACAGACAGGUCUGGAGAGGCUGACCCAAGUGACCACCUGGUAAUUACUUCAACAGCAGAGCGACUCAUACAGCCGGCAGUCCACUUUGUUCUUCUAUAGAUCCUGCCUGUGGUGUUGGAUCUAACAGCUUCUUCCCUGACCCAAGAUUAUGAAGGAUUUCUCCUGUGUUCUCUUCUAAAAAUUUUACAUUUAGGUACAUAAUCCAUUUUGAGCUAAUUCUUUUAAAUAGUGCAAAGUAUGGAUUGAAGUUCUUUUUUUUUUUUUUUUUUGCAGAUACAUAUUUAAUUUUUCCAGCACCAUUUGUUGAAAAGACUAAUGUUCUUGCCUGAAUAGCCUUUGCAUUGUUGUUGAAAAUCAUGUUCACACAUGUACACAUUCCACUGAUCUAUUUGCCUCUUUGUGAAAAUACUACUAUUUUGAUUAAUAUAUAUUUAUAGGGAGUCUUAAAAUCAUAUCUUAAAAAGAUAGUGGAAGUUAUUUAACCUUACUCUUGCUUUUAGAAAUUGUUUUGGAUAUUCUAGAUCUUUUGUGUUUCCAUAUAAAUUUUAUAAUCAGUUUGGCAAUUUAUUUAAAAUAUUCUUCUGGGAUUUUGAUGGACAUUACACUGAAUCGAUGGAUCGCUUUGGGGACAACUGACAUCUUAACAAUAUUGAGUCAUCUAACAUAUGAUCAUGGAAAUUGCUCCAUUUAUUUAGAUCUUCUUUCACAUCUUGAAGCAGUGUUUUGCGUUUUCAGUGUAUAGGUAUUUAAUAGAUUUAAAAAUAUGAUCCCUAAAUAUUCAAUGUUUUUGAUGCUAUUGGAAUUUUAAAAAAUUAAUUUCUGUUCUGAGGAAGGAAAAUAAUAAAAGAUUAAACAAGAAAAAUAAAAAUAAUCAAAAUAAAAGAUAAAUCAUUGACAAAUAUAAUAAAAAAUAAAAUAAUAACAAAAAAUAUAAAAAA
RNAcentral lists this long non-coding RNA (1141 nucleotides) under Homo sapiens (human). Its description in RNAcentral is "novel transcript". Lineage: Eukaryota; Metazoa; Chordata; Mammalia; Primates; Hominidae. The record is from RNAcentral.